AUACCGCUAAUUCGUCAACUACGGCAGGAGUUCUUUCUUCUUGGGCAGGGAAUCCAUCUGUUUCAGUGACACACAGAUACAAGGUGCCAGUUUGCUGGAACAUGGCUGUGCGUUUGUUUGAGGCACGACAUCAUGCAGUUUUGUAUCAGAAAUACAGAUUCUCUCCCUCUGAAAAUCUCCAAAGUCUCAUCUUCUCCUACUUGGAAGAAAAGAAAGUAGACCCCAUUCGGCUGGCAGUGGAUGUUGGCUGCGGGUCGGGACAAAGCACUCGCAUACUUGCAGCUCAUUUUGAGAAGGUGGUUGGAACAGACAUCAGUGAAGCUCAAAUCGAGGCAGCCAAACAAGCUGCCUCCUUCCCAAAUGUUUCUUACCAUGUGUGCCCUGCAGAGGAGCUGCCAUUUGAGGAUGGUUCCGUGGACUUCAUUACUGCUUUUGCAGCUGCCCACUGGUUUGAUAUGCCGAGGUUCAUGAAAGAAGUGGAUCGAGUUCUCAGGCCACAUGGCUGUGUGGCCCUUAGCACCUACACUACAGACUUCAGUAUGCACUAUAAAGACUGCUCGGAAAGGCUUACAGAAAUCUUCACUGAGACCCGGGACCUGCUUCUUGAAUAUGCAGAUGAAAAAAUAAAACUUGUCUUUGCAGAGUAUAAAGAGGUGUUUGAGUCUGUGCCUUGUCAGGACAAGCGGAGAGUUACCCAGAUCUUAGACAAAAUUCCCAUGUCUGUUUCUGGGGUGAUCGGGUUAUUCCAGUCCUUCUCCAUGUAUCAAGCCUUUCUGAGGAGCGACCCUGAAGCAGCAAAAUCCCUCCUCCAAAAAACUGAACAAAGGUUCCUGGACACCAUGGGAGUUUGCUCUAAUGAAACCCAGGUAGAGAUUGGGAUAAGGAGUGUUUCUGUUCUAGGCUGCAAGGGGCCAUGAAUGGAAAAUCCAGUGAUGAUCCUAUAGCCAGAAGAAAAAUCUCGAUUUUUUGGUAUCUACUUGUAACUGAUGUUAUCACCAUUCAAUAAAGUCCAUGGCAAAACUCCCAUCCUCUUCAAUGGGAGAGAAAGGAAGCACGAUAUCAAAUAGUACCAAUAUUAGAAGGGCUUUCACGGCGUGGUUGCUUCCUAAUUAAAGAGGAAAAGCACGGUAUUCUGUCCAGCGUCCCUUCAACAAGCAUUGGAAGAAAUCAAGGACCCUUUGCCACAUAGAAGGCUGCAGAGAUUGACUCAUAUCUGGAAUAUGCAAUAAACAUCAUGUUCCCUAACAGCUGAGAGAUUUUUGGAGGGCUUUAUUGUCCUACUGAGUAAAAAUAGCUUGCAGCAAGAUCAACUGCUAUAUGUAAUUCCCUGUCAAUGGGGUAAGCAAAUAGGAACAGCAAUAAUGUUGUAGAGUUCUCGGAAUAAUACGUCACAGGCAUCUUUCAACCAAAGCCCUCCAAGGGUUGUUCCAGGUCGAUCAGUAUUACUGUCUGCGCUCCACAUGAAGUGAAGAAGAGACCAGCCCCAAACAUGCCAAUUACAGAACUUCUUAUUACAGGCCAGAGUUUCAGAAGAACUUGCCUUCCAUUCAGGCACCAAAAUAACUGACGGGAUUUUCUAGAAAUCUCAGCACCUUGGGUGCCUAGCUCCGUGUGAAAAUCUGGCCACGAAUGAGCGUUCUUGAAAAUCUGACUCCAUUUGUGGGUGCUGAGCACUUGAAAAUCCAGCCCUAAGUGUCUAAGAUAGCAAUUGUAAGUCACUCCCAUUAAUUCUGUGGUUAAAGAGUAGCAGCCGUGUUAGUGGGAGGUGACUCCCAGCUUGAGGAGACAUACCCACGCUAGCUCUGACUGAGCUAGCCCACUGAAAAUAGUGCAGCCGUGGCAGCACAAGCAGCGGGAGGAGCUAGCUGCCCCUAGUAUAUCCCUAGGGUCUCAGGUGGGAUCUUAGGGCAGCUAGUCCCUCCCACUCCUCAUGCCGCUGCUGUCACUUUAUUAUUAGUGCACUACCUCGAUCAGAGCUAGUGGGGGUAUGUCUCCAAGCUGGGCAUUAGCCCUCCAGCUCAGAUUUAGACAUUACCUAAGGGUGGAACUCAUCCCCUUACAGUGAAGAUCAUCCUUAAAGCUGGUGGUUAUUGUUAUGAUUAAUUAUUUGUAUUAUCAUAGUGCCUGGGAGUCCUGCUCAAAGACCAGAAUUUCACUGUGCCAGGUUCUGUACAAAUGCAGAACAAUAGUCACGACAUUCUCAGGCAGUUUAUUAUGAUUGUAUUUAAUAUUCCGGUAGCAUCUUGUUGUGCCAGGCAUUGAACACACGCAUACGAAGGCCUGGUCCUGCCCCAAACACCUGACAGUCUAGGGCUCUGAUCCUGCAAAGACUUACCGACAUAAUUAACUUCACUAACAUGACUUCAGUGGGAUUAUUUAGGUGCUUAAAAUUAAGCAGAUAUGAUUUGAAAACAAAAAAGCUAAAGGAAGUGUCACCUGCCCUCCAGCCAGCAAUCACUGGCAGAUUUGGCAGGGGUAGAUCCUACAGAGGGGUGUGAAGGAGAAGAAGAGGCUGACGGCCUUUUAGGUUUUUAACCACUCAUUUGUUAGCUGUUUGUCACUAAUGCAGCCUUUUAAUUGCCAGAGUUCCAGCAGGUCCUGGUUAUGCCCAGACCAGGAAUUCAAGAGCAGCCUUUUGUCAAUAUUUCUUUUCACUUCCACUCUUGGCUUAAACCAGAAAGCACAGAGAUGUGGGGCAGGGGAGGGGGUGUGUUAAAGUGAACCAGACUUUUUCUACCCCUAAAAGUUCAGUAUGAGUUCUGGGCCAAGAUUUUCCCAUUUUGUUUGAAGUGGUUUGCCUGACCCAAAAAAUGACCAACCAAACUCCAGUAUUUGCUGCAACAAUGUAAAGUGAUCUCACUAAAGUAAGGUUUCAGAGUAGCAGCCAUGUUAGUCUGUAUUCGCAAAAAGAAAAGGAGUACUUGUGGCACCUUAGAGACUAACCAAUUUAUUUGAGCAUAAGCUUUUGUGAGCUACAGCUCACUUCAUCCGAUGCACUGAAGUAAGCUUGUGGAAAAUCGAAAUUCCCUUAAAAUAGCUGCAAUUUGAGUACACUGAUUAGAACGUGUGGAGGUGGAAUAGAUAAUUUAUGUUCCGAAAUCUUUCCCAUAGUCAGGAAAAUCUCCCUUUCAUUUCAGUGACUUUCUUUUUUGUAUGUAGUAAAAUACAUCCAGAUUUCAAAGGUAACAUAUCAGCUCCCAGAAAGUACCAUGCUUCCCUAGAUACGUUUAAUCUCCCAAAGAGCAGAAUAAAAUAAUGCCCCAUCCGUCAUUCCUGGGUGUUCGUCUUACUGGAGAUAACAGAACUUCACAGAAAUCACAGAGGCUGGCACUACACACACAGCAAUUGACAUGAAGCAGAGGCAUAUUACCAGGUGCUCCAAAAGAAACAAGAACUUUUCCGUAUAGAAAGUGUGGUAAAAUAAAAGCAUGAAGAACUGAAAUAAAUUGAAAUCUUUUAGAGACAGAAUGGUACUAUCUAUUCUACAAUAUUCAGGGUACUGAUACCAGUCCCAUCGUAGCUGAGCCUAGAGGUCUUAAACUCUCAUCUUCCUUGAUGUAUUUAUCUGCGCCCUGUCCCCAUGACAGAUUCAGAUACGGGAAGCUGGAGUUUCAGACUUUGUAAAGGGCUGUAACUGACAAGUUUUCCAACAACCUCUACUACACACAAUCCUUUAUGGACAUGGUUUAUAAUGAUAUCAACCCCUUUUUCUCUCUGCAAGGCUGAAUGCCAUAGCACACCAGUGGGUUGCAGAAUUAGCUAAGUUUAACUUCAAAGUCAAAUAUUGUCCAGAGAAAUCUGAUGUGGAGACAAAUAACCUACCCAGAAGUCCCCUUAUGCAAAAAUGUGACAGAAUGCACUGAAGAGACAGGCAAAGAUGUUUAGAUUAAUGCUGUCUUAUAAUGUAUGGAUGUACACAGAGAUGGCAAGGUACUUUGGUUGACAGCUAUUGCUAGCAGCCUUUUGGCAGUAGGAGACUUAAACCCAUCACAAUGCCUCUUCCACAAGAAGACAUUUUUGGCAGCCCAGAAGGAAAAUCUGGCUAUUGCUAAAUUUCUUCACUGUUAGAUAUAGGGGGAAAAGCCUAAUAACCAAGAUAACAGGGGAGGAUACACAGUAUCUAUUUCUGUAUCUUAUCCUAGAUUCUAUCUGAGACGGAUGUAAAUAUCAGUAAAUGAAGUGAUAUUGCUUUCUGGUAUUGAGAUUGUUCUAUAUCCAAGGUUUUAUCAUUUUGCAUAAUGUACAGGUUUUUUUAUUCAGCAGAUCUUUUUUCUAAAGAGAAUGUGAUAUGCCCAGUGACUUUGCAUUAUGUGGUUAUACCACUGAUUAUAUAGGCAGUGUUAUUUCAUGAGAUAUGAAUGUCUUUGGGACUAUAAACUGUUCAGACCUGGCUAUCCUGUCCAAUUGUGGAACUCAGCUGCCAUAGAGUAUUCCUGCUUGAUUGGCACUCACCUGGCAUUUGAGGGACCCAGGCUGCCAUCCCUUAAAACAGGCAGAGCAGAGAUUUGAACAAGGGUCUCCCAUGUGAGUGCCCAAACCACUAGGCUAUAUACAGUAGUAGUUCUUAUGCUCUCUCUGUGUAGCCCAAUGAAUAUUGAGUUGCUUAUACACAGUGGAACAGCUUCAACAAGCCAGAAUGAAAUUUGAAAGGUUGUUCUCAUUUUACUGAAAUGCCCCCUUUUUAGUUUUUGCUAAAAUGUUUUUGUAGUUUUAAAAUAUUUUUCCAGGUAUUUUUGUCACUUUCAUUUCGGGGGGGGGGGGGAUUUCUUUCCCUUAUUCCCCCAUCCCCACAGUUAUUUCAGAGGCGGGAGGGAGACAAUUUUCAAAAAUGAGUGAAGAGGGAAAAAAGGGAGGAGAGAAGGUAAAAGAAAAUAAGAAAAACCAAAAAAUUAAUAGUAAAACGUAUUUUAAAAUAACAAAAAAAGAAAAUGCCACAUUUUGCAAUGUUUAAGUGACUGUUUUUUUGACAAAUUGUCAGUUAAAAAUAAGUAUUUUUGACAAAAAAUAAUUUGACACAUUUUGACCAGCCCUACUGUAAACAUAGGCCCAGAUAAUCGGCUGGUCCAAAUCAGCAUAGCCCAUUCCCUUCUGAUUUGCAGCACUAGAUGAUCUGGCCCACAUCAUAUUUCCUCCCACAAACCCCGGUAUUCUGCUUUUUACAUUUACCACCUAUACCCAAGACAAAGACACUUGAAAAGCAAAGUUCACUGAUCCGUAUUUAACAAGAAGUAUCUUUGCCCUUCACUGAUUCCAAGGGUUAGAACUUCAGUACGUAACUUGAGUAAUAUUUAAUUGAGUUAAUUACAUAGUCAGUGGAGUUUGAUCUUACGGCUUGUGAUGUUGCACCCCAUAAUGCUUUAUCUAAAUAUGCUUAUGAGUGUAUAUAUGACAUAACUGAAAUAUGUUUUAUCUUACAUAUGCGUGUAACAUAUCUCUGCAAAGGUUUUGAUCCACUCAAUAUAUUCAUCCUAUUUCUAUGCAUGUAUCAUUUUUGUAUUCGAAGUUAUGAAUAUUGGCUGCGUUCUUGUUUAAUUUUAAGUAGCCUUAGUAAAGCAUUUGGUCAGCUUCUUUAGAAAGGAAUUUGCAAGUUAAGUGCGCAGUCAAGAAACACUUAAGCUAACAAUGAACUUGGAGACGUCAAUCCACAUCUGAGUUUUCCCAGGAACGUGGCCUGGAUGGUAAGGAACUCAGUCAUGCAUGGACAUGUGACUUGCCCAUGUGAUUUCAAAAUGCCAUCUUGGAGCUGGAUUUGGCAUGGGAGAGAGGAGGGGGUCUCCACCCACAAGAGAUAGUCUAUUUAAGCCCCUGGGAGGCCCCUCUAUUUGGUCUUCAGCUGGCUCAAGAGAUAGCCUCUCCACCCCCACAGGAUACCUGAAAGAAACUGGAAGAAAGGACAGUAACCAUGGGGGUGUGAGUGGUUGCUGGACCCAGACUAGAAGGAGGCUAGUCUGCAAAAGAAGCUUACUGGAACAUAUCUGAGGGUGCCAGUUUGCUGGAACAUGGCUGUGCGUUUGUUUGAGGCACGACAUCAUGCAGUUUCCUCUCAGAAAUACAGAUUCUCUCCCUCUGAAAAUCUCCAAAGUCUCAUCUUCUCCUACUUGGAAGAAAGAAAGUAGACCCAAUUCGGCUGGCAGUGGAUGUUGCCUGCGGGUCGGGACAAAGCACUCGCGUACUUGCAGCUCAUUUUGAGAAGGUGGUUGGAACAGACAUCAGUGAAGCUCAAAUCGAGGCAGCCAAACAAGCUGCCUCCUUCCCAAAUGUUUCUUACCAACCCGGGACCUGCUUCUUGAAUAUGCAGAUGAAAAAGUAAAACUUGUCUUUGCAGAGUAUAAAGAGGUGUUUGAGUCUGUGCCUUUUCAGGACA
Molecule: non-coding RNA, 6364 nt
Organism: Caretta caretta (loggerhead turtle)
Lineage: Eukaryota; Metazoa; Chordata; Testudines; Cheloniidae
Source: RefSeq, a predicted model, not a curated record